UCUAGGGCAGUGUACCAA
This 18-nucleotide unclassified non-coding RNA is filed under the name Mus musculus (house mouse). RNAcentral's name for it is "oocyte_clustered_small_RNA3344". The record is from RNAcentral. Lineage: Eukaryota; Metazoa; Chordata; Mammalia; Rodentia; Muridae.